CAGCAGCGCGGUAAUACGUAGGGUGCGAGCGUUAAUCGGAUUUACUGGGCGUAAAGCGUGCGCAGGCGGCCCGUUAAGACAGGUGUGAAAUCCCUGGGCUCAACCUAGGAAUUGCGCUUGUGACUGGCGGGCUCGAGUACGGUAGAGGGGGGUGGAAUUCCUGGUGUAGCAGUGAAAUGCGUAGAGAUCAGGAGGAACACCGAUGGCGAAGGCAGCCCCCUGGGCCUGUACUGACGCUCAUGCACGAAAGCGUGGGGAGCAAACAGGAUUAGAUACCCUGGUAGUCCACGCCCUAAACGAUGGGUACUAGCCGUUUGGUGCGCGAUAGCGCUGAGUGGCGAAGCUAACGCGUGAAGUCCCCCGCCUGGGGAGUACGGCCGCAAGGUUGAAACUUAAAGGAAUUGGCGGG
RNAcentral lists this ribosomal RNA (409 nucleotides) under uncultured microorganism. RNAcentral's name for it is "bacterial SSU rRNA". It matches the Rfam family "Bacterial small subunit ribosomal RNA", at positions 509 to 917 of the family's 1533-position model. The record is from RNAcentral.